GAUGAAGAACGUAGUGAAAUGCGAUAAGUAAUGUGAAUUGCAGAAUUCAGUGAAUCAUCGAAUCUUUGAACGCACAUUGCGCCCCCUGGCAUUCCGGGGGGCAUGCCUGUCCGAGCGUCAUUGCUGCCCUUCAAGCCCGGCUUGUGUGUUGGGUCGUCGUCCCCCCCGGGGGACGGGCCCGAAAGGCAGCGGCGGCACCGCGUCCGGUCCUCGAGCGUAUGGGGCUUUGUCACCCGCUCGAUUAGGGCCGGCCGGGCGCCAGCCGGCGUCUCCAACCUUCUAUUUUACCAGGUUGACCUCGGAUCAGGUAGGGAUACCCGCUGAACUUAAGCAUAUCAAUAAGCGGAGGA
RNAcentral lists this unclassified non-coding RNA (350 nucleotides) under soil metagenome. RNAcentral's name for it is "partial contains 5.8S ribosomal RNA, internal transcribed spacer 2, and large subunit ribosomal RNA". The stretch from base 1 to 120 matches the Rfam family "5.8S ribosomal RNA", at positions 35 to 154 of the family's 154-position model. The record is from RNAcentral.